AUUGAACGCUGGCGGCAGGCUUAACACAUGCAAGUCGAGCGGGGUGAUGGUGCUUGCACUAUCACUUAGCGGCGGACGGGUGAGUAAUGCUUAGGAAUCUGCCUAUUAGUGGGGGACAACAUCUCGAAAGGGAUGCUAAUACCGCAUACGACCUACGGGAGAAAGCAGGGGAUCACUUGUGACCUUGCGCUAAUAGAUGAGCCUAAGUCGGAUUAGCUAGUUGGUGGGGUAAAGGCCUACCAAGGCGACGAUCUGUAGCGGGUCUGAGAGGAUGAUCCGCCACACUGGGACUGAGACCCGGCCCAGACUCCGACGGGAGGCAGCAGUGGGGAAUAUUGGAGAAUGGUGGGAACCCUGAUCCAGCAAUGCCGCGUGUGUGAAGAAGGCCUUAUGGUUGUAAAGCACUUUAAGCGAGGAGGAGGCUCUUUUGGUUAAUACCCAAGAUGAGUGGACGUUACUCGCGGAAUAAGCACCGGCUAACUCUGUGCCAGCCGCCGCCGUAA
This 503-nucleotide ribosomal RNA is filed under the name uncultured bacterium. RNAcentral describes it as "partial 16S ribosomal RNA". It matches the Rfam family "Bacterial small subunit ribosomal RNA", at positions 30 to 523 of the family's 1533-position model. The record is from RNAcentral.